UAGUGUACACAAUCCCAUAUGUCUGCUUCGAAGACCUGUACGCUGAAUUCAUGGAAUUGCUCUUCAAUUCUAUUGGCUGGCCGACUCAAUGAAGGAUUUGAGCAUUUAUGGCUCUCUCGAAGUGAGGGGGAAGGAGAUAGGAGUUCAUAGUGAACUCGGACAUAUUUCACAAGCAAAACGAUAAAUAAGUAACAAAAUUAGCAUCUUCGGGAAGGAAAUGAAGUGAUAAGAUAAAAUAAAUAGAUAAGUAAAAUAACAUGCCAGUCAAUCAUUAACAACACAACGCCUAAACAAUAAUUUAAAAGGAAGACUGAUGAAGACUUGUUCAUUUUUACGUAUCAUGAAUGAGGAGCAGUGAUCAAGUACCAAGCAUUAGAACAAAGGUCAUAUGAGAUGUAAACUAAUAAGCUCUUAAUAAAGAUUAUUACUUAUUACAAGAUUAAAAUAACUACUAUGCAGGUUCAAAACAGAGAAGAAAGAAAUUUUAAUUAUAUAUAUAAUAUAAAAGAGAUAGUGAGCAAAUGUGGCAUCUACUAAAUGUGACUAUUGAAUGUUUAUCUCAAAGCACAAGAAUUGUUAGCUAAGCAAGCCUACAAUCAGUAGUUUAAGUAAAAGGAAAGAAACAUUCAAGUCACCUUUUGAACUUUUAAAAACAAUAUUAUAAACAAGUUAAGGUAGGUAGGAUUUAGUCAAAAUAUUAUUUUUUACAUAAGUGAGCUUUCUAAACAAAUAUAACAAUAAAAAAAAAAUUAGUCAAUGACUCAAAUUUUGCACAAGGGUAUAGCCUAAUACCGACAUUAUUUGGACAACUUUCUUAUUACUGAUUCUAACAUUUACGACACCGAAUUAAGCUAUGUAGAGAAGAAAAAAGGCCGGUGAUCACCAAAGCAAGUAAAAAUAUAUAGCAUCCUUAGCAACUGUUGAGACAUGCUGAAAUUAAAGAAGAAUAAAAGCCAAAAGUAUGGAUGUACAUUCACAGUUUUAUGUAUUCCCAAACUUAUCGAAAUUUGUUAAAAAUAUACAUGAGGCUCACGGAGAUAUCAAAUAGCAAAGUGGGCUGAUCCAUUUAUCCUAAAUGAGUAAACAUACAAAAUGAAUGAACAAAUACGGACUAUGACAUAUUUUACGCAUCCCGUAACCAAGAAAAAGUAGCACGAACUUACUUAAGGCAUGUCAAACUAAUCAAGAUCAAAAUUGUAUACCAUUUGGAACCAAACAACAAAAACAAUUCCCAUAAUUCUGGAAAAAUAAAAAAAAACACAUUCAAACUAGACCUGGACAACAUCUAAAUAAUUAGAGACAAAAUCAGAUAAACAAAAAUGAAAGAAUUAAUCAUACCACAAGACAACCAUAACAAAGUUUAAGCUAUACUAAUCCGGACAAGACUAUUGAUCUAAACUCAAAAAUAAGUGCAGGAAGAGCUAGAUCCUACAAGACUGGUCUAAUGUAAUUUAUGAGGGUCUAUAACAGUGAAUAAAAAAUAAAGAGAAGACAACCAAGACCACAAAUGACCAAUAGAGAAGCAGAACGAGUCAAAAAUUAAGCUACAAAGGGAAUAAUUUAAAGACUCAUAUUUAAACUAACACAUGCUUCCAUACAUGAGUAAUUUAAUCAAAAUAAGUUAGAACAAAAUGAAACCAAAGAAACUCCGCAGCAACAAGUUUAUCACACAACAUUUAAAACAUAAACAAAGCGCGGAAGAGGGAAGAGAUAUUACCUUUUCCGGGCAGCGAAACUGAGACAAGAACGAGCUUGGAGCGACUUCAACACAACCUUGAACUCGAGCACCAGACCAAAGAAAAGAUCGAGUC
This 1811-nucleotide long non-coding RNA is filed under the name Solanum tuberosum (potato). RNAcentral describes it as "long non-coding RNA (STUB_LNC001199)". The record is from RNAcentral. Lineage: Eukaryota; Viridiplantae; Streptophyta; Magnoliopsida; Solanales; Solanaceae.